Oncorhynchus tshawytscha (Chinook salmon) is the source of this 2824-nucleotide long non-coding RNA. RefSeq lists it as uncharacterized. The transcript is spliced from 2 exons. The record is from RefSeq and is a predicted model, not a curated record. Lineage: Eukaryota; Metazoa; Chordata; Actinopteri; Salmoniformes; Salmonidae.
AGCAGAUGUUAUUGGUCACAUACACAUGGUUAGCAGAUGUUAUUGCAAGUGUAGCGAAACGCUUGUGCUUCUAGUUAAUGCUCAUGGAGUUCUGGUCAUAUAAUCUAAUCAUGUAUUCUGAUCAUGUAUUCUGAUUUGUAUUCUGAUCAUGUAUUCUAAUCAUGUAUUCUGAUUAUGUAUUCUGAUCAUGUAUUCUGAUUAUGUAUUCUGAUCCUGUAUACUAUAUGUGUAAUUCACUUUGUGUAAUGGUCUUUGUGUAAUGGUCUUUGUGUAAUGGUCUUUGUGUAAUGGUCUUUGUGUAAUUGUGUAAUGGUCUUUGUGUAAUGGUCUUUGUCUAAUUGUGUAAUGGUCUUUGUGUAAUGGUCUUUGUGUAAUGGUCUUUGUGUAAUGGUCUUUGUGUAAUGGUCUUUGUCUAAUUGUGUAAUGGUCUUUGUGUAAUGGUCUUUGUGUAAUGGUCUUUGUGUAAUGGUCUUUGUGUAAUGGUCUUUGUGUAAUGGUCUUUGUGUAAUGGUCUUUGUCUAAUGGUCUUUGUCUAAUGGUCUUUGUCUAAUGGUCUUUGUGUAAUGGUCUUUGUCUAAUGGUCUUUGUGUAAUGGUCUUUGUGUAAUGGUCUUUGUGUAAUGGUCUUUGUCUAAUGGUCUUUGUCUAAUGGUCUUUGUCUAAUGGUCUUUGUGUAAUGGUCUUUGUGUAAUGGUCUUUGUGUAAUGGUCUUUGUGUAAUGGUCUUUGUCUAAUGGUCUUUGUGUAAUGGUCUUUGUCUAAUGGUCUUUGUCUAAUGGGCUUUGUGUAAUGGUCUUUGUCUAAUAGUCUUUGUGUAAUGGUCUUUGUCUAAUGGUCUUUGUGUAAUGGUCUUUGUCUAAUGGUCUUUGUGUAAUGGUCUUUGUGUAAUUGUGUAAUGGUCUUUGUGUAAUUGUGUAAUGGUCUUUGUCUAAUGGUCUUUGUGUAAUGGUCUUUGUGUAAUGGUCUUUGUGUAAUUGUGUAAUGGUCUUUGUGUAAUUGUGUAAUGGUCUUUGUCUAAUGGUCUUUGUCUAAUGGUCUUUGUGUAAUGGCUGCUGGGCUUGUAGUGCAGGGUUCCUCUGUAAAAGACACCUCAGUAACAAUAGGAAUCACUGCUAAAAUAAAGAUUGAAUACAAUACAAAUAUGACCAGACAUGAUAAAAAAAACAUUUAUUGAACAUUUAUUUGCAAUACAUGUUGGUUAGGUCUUAUGUUGGGUAGGUCUUAUGUUGGGUAGGUAGGUCUUAUGUUGGGUAGGUAGGUCUUAUGUUGGGUAGGUCUUAUGUUGGGUAGGUCUUAUGUUGGGUAGGUCUUAUGUUGGGUAGGUCUAUGUUGGGUAGGUCUUAUGUUGGGUAGGUAGGUCUUAUGUUGGGUAGGUCUAUGUUGGGUAGGUCUUAUGUUGGGUAGGUCUAUGUUGGGUAGGUCUUAUGUUGGGUAGGUAGGUCUUAUGUUGGGUAGGUCUUAUGUUGGGUAGGUAUUUUGUUGGGUAGGUAGGUCUUAUGUUGGGUAGGUCUUAUGUUGGGUAGGUAUUUUGUUGGGUAGGUCUUUUGUUGGGUAGGUCUUUUGUUGGGUAGGUAGGUAUUAUGUUGUGUAGGUCUUAUGUUGGGUAGGUCUUAUGUUGGGUGGGUCUUUUGUUGGGUGGGUCUUUUGUUGGGUGGGUCUUUUGUUGGGUGGGUCUUUUGUUGGGUGGGUCUUUUGUUGGGUGGGUCUUUUGUUGGGUGGGUCUUUUGUUGGGUGGGUCUUUUGUUGGGUGGGUCUUUUGUUGGGUGGGUCUUUUGUUGGGUGGGUCUUUUGUUGGGUGGGUCUUUUGUUGGGUGGGUCUUAUGUUGGGUGGGUCUUAUGUUGGGUGGGUCUUAUGUUGGGUGGGUCUUAUGUUGGGUAGGUCUUAUGUUGUGUAGGUCUUAUGUUGUGUAGGUCUAUGUUGGGUAGGUCUUAUGUUGGGUAGGUAGGUCUUAUGUUGGGUAGGUCUUAUGUUGGGUAGGUAGGUCUUAUGUUGGGUAGGUCUUAUGUUGGGUAGGUCUUAUGUUGGGUAGGUCUUAUGUUGGGUAGGUCUUAUGUUGUGUAGGUCUUAUGUUGUGUAGGUCUAUGUUGGGUAGGUCUUAUGUUGGGUAGGUCUUAUGUUGGGUAGGUAGGUCUUAUGUUGGGUAGGUCUUAUGUUGGGUAGGUCUAUGUUGGGUAGGUAGGUCUUAUGUUGGGUAGGUCUUAUGUUGGGUAGGUCUUAUGUUGGGUAGGUCUUAUGUUGGGUAGGUCUUAUUGUACAACUGAACAUCAACAGUCUCAAUAACAAACCCCAACAAAUGAAUCAGAAAACAGUCAUCGAAACAGGAAAAACUAAAAACUAAGUAAAACUAAAGAAACCUGGUUGGUUGUCAAGUUUCGAUAACUACAGCAUCUUUAAAGGAUAAAAAGUAUUGCUUAAUUUCUAUUGGCCGAGAUGCACAAUACAGAAUGCCAGCACCAUAAAAAAACGUGCAAAAUGUCUUCACCCUAUUAAACCAUGUGAUUAACAAAAAACAAACGUUUAUUCUUUUCCACCAUACAAUUAUUAUUUCCAAUGUUCUACCUCAUCCACACCAAAGCAAAAGUUGAUAAAAGUUGAUAAAAGUUCCUUUCUUGGCAGACAGUACAGACAUUACGUGUAGGAUAACUCUUAGGAUCUCUUUGCAUUGUUAAAACAUCAUGUCCGACACCAUUGGCCCAGUUGAUUCACUCUAGGUUGAUUUCAUUGUUCACCGCUGCCCAGUGAGCAAAAUUGGUUGAAACUAUGUAUUUUCAACUUCUUUUCAACCCCAAAAAGAUGUACAGCAUUUCCAACGUCUUUUCAACCCC